RNAcentral lists this ribosomal RNA (365 nucleotides) under uncultured Haptoria. RNAcentral's name for it is "partial small subunit ribosomal RNA". It matches the Rfam family "Eukaryotic small subunit ribosomal RNA", at positions 30 to 432 of the family's 1831-position model. Lineage: Eukaryota; Ciliophora; Litostomatea. The record is from RNAcentral.
GCUUGUCUCAAAGAUUAAGCCAUGCAUGUCUAAGUAUAAACGAUUUUAUACGUGAAACUGCGAAUGGCUCAUUAUAUCAGUUAUAGUUUAUUUGAUGGUCUUACUACUUGGAUAACUGUAGAAAAACUAGAGCUAAUACAUGCCAUAACCGUAAGGUUGUAUUUAUUAGAUAUUCCUGGUAGGUGAUUCAUAAUAACUUAGCGAAUCGUGACUCGUUCACGAUAAAUCAUUCAAGUUUCUGCCCUAUCAUGCUUUCGAUGGUAGUGUAUUGGACUACCAUGGCUCUCACGGGUAACGGAGAAUUAGGGUUCGAUUCCGGAGAAGGAGCCUGAGAAACGGCUACUACAUCUAAGGAAGGCAGCAGG